Non-coding RNA from Acanthosepion pharaonis, 111 nucleotides. The record is from the annotation of a GenBank genome assembly. Lineage: Eukaryota; Metazoa; Mollusca; Cephalopoda; Sepiida; Sepiidae.
UGACCACAUCACAUUGAAACCCCAGUUCCUGUACAAUCACUAAAGUUAAGCAAUGUCAGGCUUGGUCAGUACCUUUAUGGAUGACUGCUUGGGAAUACCAAGUGCUGUAAG